UUUUCCGAAGACUAGAAGUAGCCCAAGCUUGAGAGUGGAAAAGACAAUGGAGUUUUGGGUGAAGAUUUUCAGCUUUGUUCUGAUCACUGUCACAGCAUCCUGGGGACAAGUUGUGCUCACCCAAUCUCCAGAAUCCAUGGCUGCAUCUCAAGGGGAGGAGGUCACCAUCUCUUGCAUCUCAAGUGUAGGCACCAGUUACUUGCAUUGGUACCAACAGAAGCCAAAAGCUUCCCCUAAACUCCUAAUUUAUGAAGUAUCCAAACUGGCUUCUGGAGUCCCUGCUCGCUUUAGUGGCAGGAGGUCUGGGAGUUCUUACUCUCUCACAAUCAGCAGCAUGCAGGCUGAAGAUGCUGCCACUUACUACUGCCAGCAGGGAACUAGUUUCCCAUUCACACAGUGUUACAGACAGGAACAAAAACCCUUUAUCGAACUAAUUAAUGUUCAGCUGCUUCCUCCUAGAGAUGAAAUAUGUCCAAGGGUUUUAGUGAUGUGUUGCAGAAUGUCUCAGAUUUUCUUCAGGGCCACUAGGUAUAUUGUGAUCACCCAGUCUGCACUCUCCAUCCUUGUCACUCUUGAACAGUCAGCUUUCUUCUCUUGCAGGUGUAGCAAGAGUCUGCUACACAAUGACUUACUUGCAAUGAUUUCUGCACAGGUGCAGAUUGAGAACCUGAGAGCAGGAGUGGUGGAUGGGUUGUCACUCCCUGCAAUGCUGAUAGUGGUGCUAUAG
Alexandromys fortis (reed vole) is the source of this 727-nucleotide non-coding RNA. The record is from the annotation of a RefSeq genome assembly. Lineage: Eukaryota; Metazoa; Chordata; Mammalia; Rodentia; Cricetidae.